RNAcentral lists this ribosomal RNA (441 nucleotides) under uncultured bacterium. RNAcentral's name for it is "partial 16S ribosomal RNA". It matches the Rfam family "Bacterial small subunit ribosomal RNA", at positions 338 to 795 of the family's 1533-position model. The record is from RNAcentral.
CCUACGGGCGGCAGCAGUGGGGAAUAUUGCACAAUGGGGGAAACCCUGAUGCAGCAACGCCGCGUGAGUGAAGAAGGUUUUCGGAUUGUAAAGCCCUGUUAGCAGGGAAGAGGAAGGACGGUACCUGCAGAGGAAGCCACGGCCAAAUACGUGCCAGCAGCCGCGGUAAUACGUAGGGGGCAAGCGUUGUUUGGAAUAACUGGGCGGAAAGGAUGCGUAGGCGGGUAAACAAGUUAUAUGUUAAAUAUAUAGGCUUAACCUGUAGAAAGCAUUUAAAAUUGGUUGACUAGAGUGCAGGAGAGGUAAGGGGAAUUCCUAGUGUAGCGGUGAAAUGCGUAGAGAUUAGGAGGAACAACAGUGGCGAAGGCGACUUACUGGACAGUAACUGACGGUGAGGCAUGAGAGCGUGGGGAGCAAACAGGAUUAGAUACCCGUGUAGUC